UACAGAGGGGGCAAGCGUUGCUCGGAAUCAUUGGGCGUAAAGCGCACGUAGGCGGCCUCGCAAGUUGGAUGUGAAAUCCCUCGGCUCAACCGAGGACGUGCAUCCAAAACUGCUUGGCUUGAGUACUGAAGAGGAUCGCGGAAUUCCCGGUGUAGAGGUGAAAUUCGUAGAUAUCGGGAGGAACACCAGUGGCGAAGGCGGCGAUCUGGGCAGAUACUGACGCUGAGGUGCGAAAGCGUGGGGAGCGAACAGG
This 253-nucleotide ribosomal RNA is filed under the name uncultured bacterium. Its description in RNAcentral is "partial 16S ribosomal RNA". It matches the Rfam family "Bacterial small subunit ribosomal RNA", at positions 524 to 776 of the family's 1533-position model. The record is from RNAcentral.